UACAGAGGUCUCAAGCGUUGUUCGGAUUCAUUGGGCGUAAAGGGUGCGUAGGCGGCGCUGUAAGUCGGGUGUGAAAUUUCGGAGCUUAACUCCGAAACUGCAUUCGAUACUGCGGUGCUUGGGGACUGGAGAGGAGACUGGAAUUCAUGGUGUAGCAGUGAAAUGCGUAGAGAUCAGGAGGAACACCAAUGGCGAAGGCAGAUCUCUGGGCCGUAACUGACGCUGAGGAGCGAAAGCAUGGGGAGCGAACAGG
This 253-nucleotide ribosomal RNA is filed under the name uncultured bacterium. RNAcentral's name for it is "partial 16S ribosomal RNA". It matches the Rfam family "Bacterial small subunit ribosomal RNA", at positions 524 to 776 of the family's 1533-position model. The record is from RNAcentral.